Long non-coding RNA from Selaginella moellendorffii, 558 nucleotides. RefSeq lists it as uncharacterized. The record is from RefSeq and is a predicted model, not a curated record. Lineage: Eukaryota; Viridiplantae; Streptophyta; Lycopodiopsida; Selaginellales; Selaginellaceae. The transcript is spliced from 2 exons.
GCUCCCAACGAGAUCUUUUUGGAGGAUUACAAGCCCACUGGCUAUCACUUUGACACGGUCGAGAAAUUUGUUGUCUGAGAAAAAGACAACCGUGGUGUUUAAGAUCCGGGUUUUGCCGAGAAACUCAAGUAUUUUCUUUUUCACUUUCGUUGUUUCGUUCGCUAUCUUGGUAGUCAUUAACCAGAAGCCAUGCAGGUGAAAGCCCGCCAUUGGUGUUGGAUGGUCGUGACGUGAAACUUCUCUUUGUUAAAAUCAACGACGAAGAACGGAAGCUGGAAGAAGUUGCGCUCACCAGCCGUCAUCUGACGCUGAAGUCACUUCCUGUUCAGCCUUUUCUCAGGGUUCUGGAUGUGAUAAGGAGGUCGUUUCAGGAGAAGAAUGGAUCAAAUGUGAUAAGGAGGGCGUUUCUGACGUGCUAUUGUCUUUCCUAGUGACUUAAGAAAGUCCAAGUGUUCGACUUAUCGUGGCUUGGUCAACCUUAGCUCAGGCCGGCAUUUGGCUUUUAAGCUUUUCACCAAGAGAGACACUAGCUAACUAAAGAGAGGAAAUUAUAUCGUU